GAGGAUUUAUCUUUUCUGCUGCUUCUUUUAAAGAGAUCAGCAAACUGGGAAGUGAAGAGUAAUGAAAGAAAUGCAAUCUGAUCCUGCCAGCAGAGUAAGGGCGAGAUAUCCUGCAUUUGGAUUAUUCUUUCAAACUGGAUCACAAUAAAGGAGAAAUGGUCACACAGAUGACUCACAAAGAUACUUGCCUUUUGCCUAAAAUGAAAACUGCCUCAGCUCUACCUAUCGACUCAGGUUUUACUCUUCCAGAAGCCUUCUUAGACCACCAUCUGAGACCAUGGACC
Long non-coding RNA from Equus quagga, 284 nucleotides. RefSeq lists it as uncharacterized. The transcript is spliced from 3 exons. NCBI's taxonomy places the organism in Eukaryota, Metazoa, Chordata, Mammalia, Perissodactyla, Equidae. The record is from RefSeq and is a predicted model, not a curated record.